AUCAUGCUGGCCUCUAUAAGAUUGUAUUUUAAAGCGUAUUUAUUAUAGAGACAUCCAGCAACUUUUCUGGUUGUACAGUCAAAGGUGCUUGAGUCAUUGGCAUGUGAGAGAAGUACACCUGCUUGCUAGUCGAACGUUCUGAUGGAAAUGGCAUACGGUUGUGAUGUCAGUUGGUACUGUCAGGACCAGACUGGUGUGCGGACACU
Molecule: small nucleolar RNA, 206 nt
Organism: Ochotona princeps (American pika)
Lineage: Eukaryota; Metazoa; Chordata; Mammalia; Lagomorpha; Ochotonidae
Product: small nucleolar RNA SNORA53
Exons: 1
Source: RefSeq, a predicted model, not a curated record